Molecule: ribosomal RNA, 253 nt
Filed under: uncultured bacterium
Lineage: Bacteria
Description: partial 16S ribosomal RNA
Rfam family: Bacterial small subunit ribosomal RNA
Source: RNAcentral
GACGUAGGGUGCAAGCGUUGUCCGGAUUUACUGGGCGUAAAGCGCGCGUAGGCGGCUUGUUAAGUGUGAAGUGAAAUCUCUGGGCUCACCCCAGAAACUGCUUCGCAUACUGGCAGGCUUGAGGGACGGAGAGGUGAAUGGAAUUCCUGGUGUAGCGGUGAAAUGCGUUGAUAUCAGGAGGAACACCGAUGGCGAAGGCAGUUCACUGGCCGUUUCCUGACGCUGAGGCGCGAAAGCGUGGGUAGCAAACUGG